RNAcentral lists this ribosomal RNA (253 nucleotides) under uncultured bacterium. Its description in RNAcentral is "partial 16S ribosomal RNA". It matches the Rfam family "Bacterial small subunit ribosomal RNA", at positions 524 to 776 of the family's 1533-position model. The record is from RNAcentral.
GACAGAGGGUGCAAACGUUGCUCGGAAUCACUGGGCGUAAAGGGCGUGUAGGCGGACAUGUAAGUCGGGCGUGAAAUCCCUGGGCUCAACCCAGGAACUGCACUCGAAACUGCGUGUCUUGAGUACCGGAGAGGAAAGUGGAAUUCCUGGUGUAGAGGUGAAAUUCGUAGAUAUCAGGAGGAACACCAGUGGCGAAGGCGGCUCCCUGGAACGGUACUGACGCUGAGACGCGAAAGCGUGGGGAGCGAACAGG